GUGCCAGCCGCCGCGGUAAUACAGAGGUCUCAAGCGUUGUUCGGAUUCAUUGGGCGUAAAGGGUGUGUAGGUGGCGCGCUAAGUCGGGUGUGAAAUUUCGGAGCUUAACUCCGAAACUGCAUUCGAUACUGGCGUGCUUGAGGACUGGAGAGGAGACUGGAAUUUACGGUGUAGCAGUGAAAUGCGUAGAUAUCGUAAGGAAGACCAGUGGCGAAGGCGGGUCUCUGGACAGUUCCUGACACUGAGACACGAAGGCCAGGGGAGCAAACGGGAUUAGAUACCCCGGUAGUCCUGGCAGUAAACGGUGCACGUUUGGUGUGGGAGGAUUCGACCCCUUCUGCGCCGGAGCCAACGCGUUAAACGUGCCGCCUGGGGGGUACGGUCGCAAGAUUAAA
This 395-nucleotide ribosomal RNA is filed under the name uncultured bacterium. Its description in RNAcentral is "bacterial SSU rRNA". It matches the Rfam family "Bacterial small subunit ribosomal RNA", at positions 505 to 898 of the family's 1533-position model. The record is from RNAcentral.